UACGUAGGCGGUUUUUUAAGUCAGGUGUGAAAGCGUGAGGCUUAACCUCAUUAAGCACUUGAAACUGGAAGACUUGAGUGAAGGAGAGGAAAGUGGAAUUCCUAGUGUAGCGGUGAAAUGCGUAGAUAUUAGGAGGAAUACCGGUGGCGAAGGCGACUUUCUGGACUUUACUGACGCUCAGGUACGAAAGCGUGGGGAGCAAACA
This 205-nucleotide ribosomal RNA is filed under the name uncultured bacterium. RNAcentral describes it as "partial 16S ribosomal RNA". It matches the Rfam family "Bacterial small subunit ribosomal RNA", at positions 568 to 774 of the family's 1533-position model. The record is from RNAcentral.